RNAcentral lists this transfer RNA (78 nucleotides) under Ricinus communis (castor bean). It matches the Rfam family "tRNA". Rfam says of the family: Transfer RNA (tRNA) molecules are approximately 80 nucleotides in length. Their secondary structure includes four short double-helical elements and three loops (D, anti-codon, and T loops). Further hydrogen bonds mediate the characteristic L-shaped molecular structure. tRNAs have two regions of fundamental functional importance: the anti-codon, which is responsible for specific mRNA codon recognition, and the 3' end, to which the tRNAs corresponding amino acid is attached (by aminoacyl-tRNA synthetases). tRNAs cope with the degeneracy of the genetic code in two manners: having more than one tRNA (with a specific anti-codon) for a particular amino acid; and 'wobble' base-pairing, i.e. permitting non-standard base-pairing at the 3rd anti-codon position. The record is from Rfam by way of RNAcentral. Lineage: Eukaryota; Viridiplantae; Streptophyta; Magnoliopsida; Malpighiales; Euphorbiaceae.
GGAGAGAUGGCCUAAUGGUUUAUGGCUCUAGAUAAAAAUAAUCCAGUAUCUUUGAGGGUUCGAUUCCCUCUCUCUCCU